RNAcentral lists this ribosomal RNA (433 nucleotides) under uncultured bacterium. Its description in RNAcentral is "partial 16S ribosomal RNA". It matches the Rfam family "Bacterial small subunit ribosomal RNA", at positions 29 to 507 of the family's 1533-position model. The record is from RNAcentral.
AACGAACGCUGGCGGCAUGCCUAACACAUGCAAGUCGAACGAGACCUUCGGGUCUAGUGGCGCACGGGUGCGUAACGCGUGGGAACCUGCCCUUAGGUUCGGAAUAACUCCCCGAAAGGGGUGCUAAUACCGGAUAAUGUCUUCGGACCAAAGAUUUAUCGCCCUUGGAUGGGCCCGCGUUGGAUUAGCUAGUUGGUAGGGUAAAAGCCUACCAAGGCGACGAUCCAUAGCUGGUCUGAGAGGAUGAUCAGCCACACUGGGACUGAGACACGGCCCAGACUCCUACGGGAGGCAGCAGUGGGGAAUAUUGGACAGUGGGCGAAAGCCUGAUCCAGCAAUGCCGCGUGAGUGAUGAAGGCCUUAGGGUUGUAAAGCUCUUUUACCCGGGAUGAUAAUGACAGUACCGGGAGAAUAAGCUCCGGCUAACUCCGUG